Molecule: non-coding RNA, 2332 nt
Organism: Rattus norvegicus (Norway rat)
Lineage: Eukaryota; Metazoa; Chordata; Mammalia; Rodentia; Muridae
Source: RefSeq, a predicted model, not a curated record
GUUAUUGUCUCUGAGCCUUGGCUUGCUCACCUGUAAAAUAAAUCAAUGGAUCCCAGUAUUGUUUCUGUAAAAAUCUGAUGACAUCAUCCAUUUAGAGCAUCUCUGGCUCCCUGUAAACACGAGGCAGCCAGGAUUCACCAGUUGCCACAGUAAGCACUAUGAGCUAUGAUAAUAUGAUAGGACUCUGUGGUUGCCUAAUCCUCCUUUCUCUCUCUCUCUCUCUCUCUCUCUCUCUCUCUCUCUCUCUCUCUCUCUCUUAUGUGUAGGGGGGGGCAGGCCAGGAAAGACUUCCUAGAAGCAAUCUUGGUGUUGUAUCUUAAAGGAGUAUCAGAAGGUCAAAGGCAGUGCUUUGAGAACAGAAAGAAAAGGAGCCCUGAACACAAGCUCUCAGGCCCGCUGGCUCCAGGCCCCGAGCUGCCGCCUUGCAGGAUCUGCUGUGCCCCAGCUCAUUCUCUGUGGUGCAGGCUGCAGUUUCCUCCUCUCACUGCUCUGCCCACUCCAGUUUCCGGCCUCCACUUCCUUCCCCUUUACAGACCACACAGGCCUUUCAGAGGAAGCCACUUCUUAUUUUAGCUGAGUCCCUGGACAACCCCACCCACAGGUGCCCUGCCCCCUGGGGUCCUUAAGAGGCCUGAGACAUGCUUCAACCAUACCCCAAAGCAGGCUGUGGAUAGACGCUGCAAUGCAUGGAGCCACACCAGUGGUAGUUAUUCUGGAAAGUGAAAUCUGGAAGAUGGCAUCUGACUAAGGAGCCCCAGGUCCCAUGGGUCAGCUGGCAGAGUCCAGAGCUUGUUUCCACUGCUCUCUCCUCAUGACCUGAGUGGUCUUUGGCCUCUCACUCUGGCCCCCAGACUUACAGCCAAGACUUUCCCUGGAAAACCCCAAGCAUCGUCACCUUCUUCCUCCUGAUUCUGUGGGGGGGAGACAGAAUUAGAGCUUGCCUCACGGUACGAAGUUGUGGCCACAGCUGCAGAAGAAUGACUUUCAACUUCUAGGAAUCGACCCUGACUAUCAGAUAGGGCAAGGGUUGAGUCACUGGCAGAGGCCACAUUAGUGGAGAUUUUGAUCAGGUGUUUGCGUGUGUGUGAGUGUGUGUGUGUGUGUGUGUGUGUGUGUGUGUGUAUGCGCGCACACGCGUGCUCGUGCCUCUGGUUCUACUUCCUCCUUGGGAGGCCCAGACCCUUCAGUGCUGUUUCUGUGCUGAGAUGGGAAGGGAGCACUCACCCCGCAGGUCCCAAUCCAGGCCAACUGGGAUGUGCUAAAUUAGGUCCUAAAAAAUCACAGCUGUGAGAACACGGAAUUUUGCUUUACAGAUGAUAAAAGUAUUCAGAGAAAUCAAGAGACUUGUCUUAUUCUCCUUAAAAAAUAGUUGGGCCUUAAGCUCAGGGCUCCCAAAAGAUCACCACACGACCCCCAAUAAAUGCUCUUUCCUAAGUCUGGAGUCUCGGCCACUGUCCUGAGGCUCAAAUGAUCAUAGAUAAAAGGGGGGAGGGCACAGUUGGAACUGAAGUCAAAACCCAUGUUUGAGCAGGUCCUGCCGGAUGUAGUGGUCAUUCUUUGUGCUUCUGGAUGGCUUUCACCAUCUCUUUUCUAAGACCCAACUCCUCUGUGUGAACCGCUGGGGUCCAUAUCUGUCUCCUCUCUCUGAUCUCUUGAUAACAGUUUGUUAGACUGGAAAUGGCCAUCUGUGCCAAUUCAGCUUCCGUCUCCUGUGCCCUGGGCAUUGGGAUACAAAGGGGCUGGGCUGCCUUCCUGGCUGAGUAUUUAAAGUGAGACCUAGGGCUUGGCCAGAUUAAAAUGGGACAGCAGAACGAAGUCCAGGUCACAGAGAGGAUGAAGUAGGCUUAUAAGGGGAAGGGGAAGGGUGAGAGACCAUGGCAUAGGCAACCAUGGAGGAGAGGAAGAGAGCUUAGGAAAGAGAGACAGGAAGAUAGGAUAAGGAACAGACAAACAAGCAGGCAGGUGUGUAUUCCUGAACUAGGGAAAGAUGAAGAGGAGAUCAAGGUAUAGGGGCAGAGAAGAAAUAAAAUAAGGAGGGAGGGAUAGACAAAGAGACAAACACCAUUAGUCUUUACUAGCCAAUGACCCCUAAAUCAGCAACAGCGACAGACUCUGGAUUGAAUAUUUGAAAAAGAAAAUCCCCCAUCUGUAGUGUACAUAUUCAACUUCUUUCUCUCCGUCAUUUUGUUUGUUUUGUUUCUGAGACAGGGCUUAUCUGUAUAGCCCUGGCUAUCCUGAAACUCACUGUGUAGACCAGGCUGGCCUUGAACUCACAGAGAUUUUACCUGCUUCUGCCUCCCAAGUGUUGGAAUUAAAGACAUGUGCCACCAUG